This 520-nucleotide ribosomal RNA is filed under the name uncultured ciliate. RNAcentral describes it as "SSU rRNA". It matches the Rfam family "Eukaryotic small subunit ribosomal RNA", at positions 347 to 951 of the family's 1831-position model. Lineage: Eukaryota; Ciliophora. The record is from RNAcentral.
UGGCUCUCACGGGUAACGGGGAAUUAGGGUUCGAUUCCGGAGAAGGAGCCUGAGAAACGGCUACUACAUCUAAGGAAGGCAGCAGGCGCGUAAAUUACCCAAUCCUGACUCAGGGAGGUAGUGACAAGAUAUAACGACGCGACUAAAAAUCGCGAUUGUAGUGAGGGUAUUCCAAACCGAACCACUAGUACGAUUGGAGGGCAAGUCUGGUGCCAGCAGCCGCGGUAAUUCCAGCUCCAAUAGCGUAUAUUAAAGUUGUUGCAGUUAAAAAGCUCGUAGUUGGAUUUCAAGGGACGCAGCGUGGAAACACGUUUGCCCCCUACCAGUCUUUGACUGUUACUGUGAGAAAAUUAGAGUGUUUCAAGCAGGCUGUUGCAGGAAUACAUUAGCAUGGAAUAACGAGUGUGUCUAGAAUCUUGGUUAAUUCUAGAUUACGAUUAAUAGGGACAGUUGGGGGCAUUAGUAUUUAAUUGUCAGAGGUGAAAUUCUUGGAUUUGUUAAAGACUAACGUAUGCGAAAG